RNAcentral lists this ribosomal RNA (402 nucleotides) under Pheretima sp. Banahaw. RNAcentral's name for it is "partial 12S rRNA". The record is from RNAcentral. Lineage: Eukaryota; Metazoa; Annelida; Clitellata; Crassiclitellata; Megascolecidae.
UAGAUACCCGUCUAUUCACGGCAUAAAACAAAGUGGAAUAUUACGAACAACAGUUUAAAAUUCAAAGAUUUUGGCGGUGUCUUAUAAAACCAGGGGAACCUGUCUCAUAACUCGAUAAUCCACGUAUACUCAACCCUCUUUUGACUACAGCAUGUGUACUGCCGUUGUAAGCACACCUUUAAAAGAAAGUGUGCUACUAUGAGCUCAUAUACAUCAGGUCAAGGUGCAGCUAAUAAGAAGGUGAUGAUGGGUUACAACCCAAAAAUAGACUAUCAACCAAGAAAUAAAAAAUCUUACGAAAGUGGACUUGGCCGUAAUCAAUUUACAAGUUAAAAAAAUGAAUAAAAAUCUAAGACAUGCACACAUCGCCCGUCACUCUACCCUAAAGGGUAGAUAAGUCGU